UACGUAGGCGGUUUAUUAAGUCAGAUGUGAAAGCCCCGGGCUUAACCUGGGAACUGCAUUUGAUACUGGUAAACUAGAGUAUGGUAGAGGGGGGUAGAAUUCCUAGUGUAGCGGUGAAAUGCGUGGAUAUUAGGAGGAAUACCAGUGGCGAAGGCGGCCCCCUGGACCAAUACUGACGCUGAGGUACGAAAGCGUGGGUAGCGAACA
This 207-nucleotide ribosomal RNA is filed under the name uncultured bacterium. RNAcentral's name for it is "partial 16S ribosomal RNA". It matches the Rfam family "Bacterial small subunit ribosomal RNA", at positions 568 to 774 of the family's 1533-position model. The record is from RNAcentral.